AUUGAACGCUGGCAGCAGGCCUAACACAUGCAAGUCGAACGAGAGGCGGACGGGUGAGUAAUGUCUGUUACACUGCCUGAUGGAGGGGGAUAUGUACUGGAAACGGUCGCUAAUACCGCAUACCAUCAGCUGUCCCCAUAUGGGAUUAGCUGGUUGGGGGGGUAACGGCGCCCCAAGGCGACGAUCCCUAGCUGGUCGGAGAGGAUGACCAGCCACACUGGAACGGAGACACGGUCCAGACUCCGACGUGAGGCAGCAGUGGGGAAUAUUGCACAAUGGGCGCAAGCCUGAUGCAGCCAUGCCUCGUGUAUGAAGAAGGCCUUCGGGUUGUAAAGUACUUUCAGCGGGGAGGCGUUACCCGCAGAAGAAGCACCGGCUAACUACGUGCCAGCAGCCGCGGUAAUUC
RNAcentral lists this ribosomal RNA (406 nucleotides) under uncultured bacterium. RNAcentral's name for it is "partial 16S ribosomal RNA". It matches the Rfam family "Bacterial small subunit ribosomal RNA", at positions 30 to 526 of the family's 1533-position model. The record is from RNAcentral.